This 353-nucleotide ribosomal RNA is filed under the name uncultured bacterium. RNAcentral's name for it is "SSU rRNA". It matches the Rfam family "Bacterial small subunit ribosomal RNA", at positions 26 to 372 of the family's 1533-position model. The record is from RNAcentral.
AGAACGAACGCUGGCGGCGUGGAUAAGACAUGCAAGUCGAACGCGACUUAUUUUGUUAGCAAUAACGAGAUAAGUUGAGUGGCGAAAGGGUGCGUAACACGUGGGAAUUUACCAAGAAGUGGGGAAUAGCUCGACGAAAGUCGAAUUAAUACCGCAUGUGAUCGAAAGAUCAAAGUCGGGGACCGCAAGGCCUGACGCUUUUUGAGGAGCCCGCGGCCCAUCAGCUAGUUGGUGAGGUAAAAGCUCACCAAGGCUAUGACGGGUAGCUGGUCUGAGAGGACGACCAGCCACACUGGAACUGAGACACGGUCCAGACACCUACGGGUGGCAGCAGUCGAGAAUUUUUUCACAAU